RNAcentral lists this small RNA (83 nucleotides) under Marmota monax (woodchuck). The record is from RNAcentral. Lineage: Eukaryota; Metazoa; Chordata; Mammalia; Rodentia; Sciuridae.
GCUGGGUAUGGUGGCACAUGCCUGUAAUCCCAGCGGCUCGGGAGGCUGAGGCUGGAGGAUUGCGAGUUCAAAGCCAGCCUCAA